AGACGUCUACAUUAGACUACCCCGUAGUCCCAGCCGUAAACUAUGCGCGUUAGGUGUAUCGGUGACCACGAGUUACCGAGGUGCCGAAGGGAAACCGUGAAACGUGCCGCCUGGGAAGUACGGUCGCAAGGCUGAAACUUAAAGGAAUUGGCGGGGAGCACCACAACAGGUGGAGCCUGCGGUUUAAUUGGACUCAACGCCGGGAAGCUCACCGGAUAGGACAGCAGAAUGAUUGCCGGGCUGAAGACCCUGCAUGACUAGCUG
This 264-nucleotide ribosomal RNA is filed under the name uncultured archaeon. Its description in RNAcentral is "partial 16S ribosomal RNA". It matches the Rfam family "Archaeal small subunit ribosomal RNA", at positions 717 to 982 of the family's 1478-position model. The record is from RNAcentral.